Long non-coding RNA from Nicotiana attenuata, 492 nucleotides. RefSeq lists it as uncharacterized. Lineage: Eukaryota; Viridiplantae; Streptophyta; Magnoliopsida; Solanales; Solanaceae. The record is from RefSeq and is a predicted model, not a curated record. The transcript has 2 exons.
CCUGCCCGUUCAGCCACGACCCGAUAUCCAAACCGACCCCCAAAAAAUCCGAAUGAUUUUAACCCAUACAUAUGGCUUCUCCUACGUUUAUAUGCAGGAAUUUGGUUCAGCCGAUCUGAGGAUGCUGGAAUCAAAACAGAUAAUCAGAAAAUUCUUUAACAUAUGGUUCUUGAAGAACAACCUUUGAACUUUAGAAGUGGGUUUGAAAUUUGAAGUUGAAAAAAGACGAAUCGGAAGUGAUGGAGGCUACUGAAAAAAGUUUUACGGAGGGUCACCAUGGGAGGCGGAGGUCGAAAGGAAGCUCGUUGUUGGGGGUGGAUGCUUUGAUUGUGUUGUUAAUAGUUUCGUUGCAGUACCACUAUACUUUUCUUGAUAUGUGGUUCUUAAUUAUUACAAGAGGAGAAGGAUUGUAAGUUGUAUACAAGUGCCUACUGUUUGUAAUUCAACUUCCACAAAGAAAUUAGAAGCAGACCCAUGUUUUCGUUUGCAUCA